CUUAUCCUCUGGUCGCUUCUUCCCCAAUUCCCCACCACCCCUCCCAAUCUUUGGCAAAUAGCGCCGCUUCACUCCUCCAGCAGAAGGAACGGGACUACCCGCUGCCGAUCCCCCCGCAUCCGAGCUCUGGGCCACAUCGUGCUCGAGCCUCCUGCCAACGACACCUCCCAAUUUGGCCGCCCCGGCACAGCCCCGACCCCGAAAUCCCUCCACACCGCCCCGACCUGGAGUGAGGGGAGCCUUGCUUCUAGCGCUGCCUCCGCAUUGAUGGUCUUGGGAGUUCGACCUCGCGUGCGCUGAUCCAGAUGGUGUCCGGCAAGCUCGCGUGAGGAUAUGGAGCGACCUGGUUGCUGAUCUGCUCUGGGGCCAGUCCGGCGGUGGGUUAUCAUGCAUAUAUUUCAGAUAAUCUUGAUACUCUGCUGCCAUGUGUGCGUCGAUGCGUCGCUGCUUCUGUUGCUCAUGUGAUGGAUAUCAAUUUCCAUCUCUCUCAGCUAUGCAUUCUUUUAAUUACCAACCCACUCUUCAAUCUCGUUGAAAAUUUCAGGCCAGCAAUGUGACCCAUUUGUAACUGAAUCUUAUCUGCCAGCAUUUUUAUUGUUAGAAGCGCAAGUGCUGAGAUUGAUGUUAUGUCAACUUUGUGCAAUUGGAAAGGAGUCAGAUCGCCUGGGAAUAGGCACAAAUAUGUAUCCUUUCCUCUGAUUUGUUGCGGCAGAAGACACACCACAGAUGAGUCUAUUUCUGCUUCAUCAA
Lolium rigidum is the source of this 750-nucleotide long non-coding RNA. RefSeq lists it as uncharacterized. NCBI's taxonomy places the organism in Eukaryota, Viridiplantae, Streptophyta, Magnoliopsida, Poales, Poaceae. The transcript has 2 exons. The record is from RefSeq and is a predicted model, not a curated record.